RNAcentral lists this microRNA (19 nucleotides) under Tribolium castaneum (red flour beetle). Its description in RNAcentral is "tca-miR-3847-3p". The record is from miRBase by way of RNAcentral. Lineage: Eukaryota; Metazoa; Arthropoda; Insecta; Coleoptera; Tenebrionidae.
CUCGAAUUUCGAUCAGGUU